UACGGGGGGGGCAAGCGUUGUUCGGAAUUACUGGGCGUAAAGGGUUCGUAGGUGGCCAACUAAGUCAGACGUGAAAUCCCUCAGCUUAACUGGGGAACUGCGUCUGAUACUGGUUGGCUUGAGUGCAGGAGAGGAACGCGGAAUUCCAGGUGUAGCGGUGAAAUGCGUAGAUAUCUGGAGGAACACCGGUGGCGAAGGCGGCGUUCUGGACUGCAACUGACGCUGAGACACGAAAGCGUGGGUAGCAAACAGG
Molecule: ribosomal RNA, 253 nt
Filed under: uncultured bacterium
Lineage: Bacteria
Description: partial 16S ribosomal RNA
Rfam family: Bacterial small subunit ribosomal RNA
Source: RNAcentral